Molecule: ribosomal RNA, 651 nt
Filed under: Burkholderia sp. Ms196
Lineage: Bacteria; Pseudomonadati; Pseudomonadota; Betaproteobacteria; Burkholderiales; Burkholderiaceae
Description: bacterial SSU rRNA
Rfam family: Bacterial small subunit ribosomal RNA
Source: RNAcentral
AGCAUCCUGGCGGCGAGUGGCGAACGGGUGAGUAAUACAUCCGAACGUGUCCUGUAGUGGGGGAUAGCCCGGCGAAAGCCGGAUUAAUACCGCAUACGAUCUACGGAUGAAAGCGGGGGAUCGCAAGACCUCGCGCUAUAGGGGCGGCCGAUGGCGGAUUAGCUAGUUGGUGGGGUAAAGGCCCACCAAGGCGACGAUCCGUAGCUGGUCUGAGAGGACGACCAGCCACACUGGGACUGAGACACGGCCCAGACUCCUACGGGAGGCAGCAGUGGGGAAUUUUGGACAAUGGGCGCAAGCCUGAUCCAGCAAUGCCGCGUGUGUGAAGAAGGCCUUCGGGUUGUAAAGCACUUUUGUCCGGAAAGAAAUCCUCUGGGUUAAUACCCCGGGGGGAUGACGGUACCGGAAGAAUAAGCACCGGCUAACUACGUGCCAGCAGCCGCGGUAAUACGUAGGGUGCGAGCGUUAAUCGGAAUUACUGGGCGUAAAGCGUGCGCAGGCGGUGAUGUAAGACCGAUGUGAAAUCCCCGGGCUUAACCUGGGAACUGCAUUGGUGACUGCAUCGCUGGAGUAUGGCAGAGGGGGGUAGAAUCCACGUGUAGCAGUGAAAUGCGUAGAGAUGUGGAGGAAUACCGAUGGCGAAGGCAGCCC